GUUUAUGUGAAAAGAGGACAUGAUAUAAUAAAAGAGAUAAUGAAUGAGAGUUUCAUUUCAAAAGCCUUGAGUGGAUGAUUGAAGCAGGAAGGCACAGAAAGAGGACUUCUGCCAGAUCGGCUGCUGUCAUUUUCUGCCUUGGAAAAUAACUAAGUGGCACUUGGAAUUAAACUCUCCUAGGGAGAGUGGUAUGAC
This is a long non-coding RNA of Suricata suricatta (meerkat), 195 nucleotides long. RefSeq lists it as uncharacterized. Lineage: Eukaryota; Metazoa; Chordata; Mammalia; Carnivora; Herpestidae. The record is from RefSeq and is a predicted model, not a curated record. The transcript is spliced from 3 exons.